GCUGGGCACAGUGGUGCACACCUGUAAUCCCAAUGCUCAGGAGGCCGAGACAGGAGAAUUGCAAGUUCGAGGCCAGCCUCAGCAACUUAGCAAGACCCUGUCUCAA
RNAcentral lists this small RNA (106 nucleotides) under Marmota monax (woodchuck). The record is from RNAcentral. Lineage: Eukaryota; Metazoa; Chordata; Mammalia; Rodentia; Sciuridae.